GCUUUGAAAUUUAGGACCUGAUAAUUUUUCUCCAUGAUGGAGGCUUCCACUAAGAAAAAAGUUCUUCAGAUUUCAACUUACCACAGCAUUUUGUGGAUUUGCCUGCUCAUCAUGCAUCUCUCGGAUCUCUUGCUCUGUGGACGCAUGGACUUGACUCAGAACACUAAACCACUGGCUGUGGAGAGAAAGGCAGCAGUGGCAGAGCACUCAGCAUCUUCCCAGAUUAAGUCCCAAGAAGUAUUUAGGAGGAACUACGGCUAGCAUAUGAACACACGUAAACCUACUUGGCUGUU
Oxyura jamaicensis (ruddy duck) is the source of this 293-nucleotide long non-coding RNA. RefSeq lists it as uncharacterized. The transcript is spliced from 3 exons. The record is from RefSeq and is a predicted model, not a curated record. NCBI's taxonomy places the organism in Eukaryota, Metazoa, Chordata, Aves, Anseriformes, Anatidae.